This is a non-coding RNA of Phrynosoma platyrhinos (Desert horned lizard), 72 nucleotides long. The record is from the annotation of a GenBank genome assembly. Lineage: Eukaryota; Metazoa; Chordata; Lepidosauria; Squamata; Phrynosomatidae.
GCCAGUGUGGUAUAGUGGUUUGAGCUUUGGAUUAUAACUCCAGAGUCCAGGGUUCAAAUCCCGCCUUGAACA